AGAGAGAGAGAGAGAGAGAGGCUAGAAUUGGUGCAUGAAGAGGAGGAUAUAUUUGAUUUUGGAAUGGGGCAAUUGGUAAGUUAAUAUUCAUAUGUGGUAUCUAUUUAAGAGUUAAAAUAACCUCAAAACCUUGUGUAGCAAUAAUGGAGAUGGUAUAUACUGUUAUGUAAUAUUUGAUGAAUGAUGACACUAUUAGGAUUCAGUUUGUUGACUUAUCUGAAUAGGAUCCUCCAUGUUUGCAUAAUAUUUUCAUAUGUGACCUCCUAUUUGGAUGUCGUUCUAUUUCUAGGUUGAACUAAUUGGAUUUUGUAAAUUUUGCAGCUUACUGUGUAGUUGCAGUUGAGU
This 345-nucleotide unclassified non-coding RNA is filed under the name Hevea brasiliensis (rubber tree). The record is from RNAcentral. Lineage: Eukaryota; Viridiplantae; Streptophyta; Magnoliopsida; Malpighiales; Euphorbiaceae.